This is a non-coding RNA of Anas platyrhynchos (mallard), 819 nucleotides long. The record is from RefSeq and is a predicted model, not a curated record. NCBI's taxonomy places the organism in Eukaryota, Metazoa, Chordata, Aves, Anseriformes, Anatidae.
CCAGUUUAUAAUACAGAAGUUGCUAGGAUACAUUUCUCAUAGUGAUGUAUCAUGACAGCUUGUGUGUCAUACAUGACUAAAGCAAAACCAUUAUUUGAAAACACAUCAUGAAUUUGAGUAACAUGCAUACUCUUAGGAAUUUGAAAUGGGUGUUUAGUGUGUGUUAAGUUUUUAAUGAUUUGGGAGUACAGUUCAUUUGUGGAGAGAUGGGAAUAUUGUAUGGUAAUGUGUUAAGCAUUUCAUUGCUACGUGAAUGAUACAUUUUCAAAAUAAUUGUGAAAAAGUAAUGCUAUUAAACAGCGGAUUUGCUUUAUAUGAAUCUUGACAAAGUAGAAUUUUGGAUUUUGAGCGCUUUACUGUCAACAUGUUUGCAUUUUAGGAAAGACUAAAAGGGAAAAGGAUUUAAAAGUGGCUGCUAUCGUAAUGAUGUGUUAAUGCUACAUUAACAUUAUUUUGCAGACAUCAUCAUUUGAUUGCACACCAUCUCCCAGCAAGAAUCCUGUAGAAAGUCCUCUAAAUAUUAUGUUGAACAUUGUUAAACAAGAAACACAAGAGUCCUGUGACUCGCCUAAAGUCAAAGAAGAACCUGAUGACACCCCUCCUGCCUGUGCAGAAGAGAGCACACCUGCAUCUACAGAUAUUAAAACAGAACCUGAUGAGUCUGUUUAAAUAAACUGAGGGGGAAACGAAUGUAAGAAUGCUCAUUUGAAAAAUGGUUAAGCGUUUUUUUUUGUUGUUGUUUAUGACUGGACUUAGAUGGUAAACCAGAUAUCCUGAGAUGUUAAUAUUUCUUAAAUGUAAUAAAUAAAAUUAAGCAUA